RNAcentral lists this ribosomal RNA (1292 nucleotides) under Chloridium virescens. RNAcentral's name for it is "partial large subunit ribosomal RNA". It matches the Rfam family "Eukaryotic large subunit ribosomal RNA", at positions 1 to 1325 of the family's 3401-position model. The record is from RNAcentral. Lineage: Eukaryota; Fungi; Ascomycota; Sordariomycetes; Chaetosphaeriales; Chaetosphaeriaceae.
UUGACCUCGAAUCAGGUAGGAAUACCCGCUGAACUUAAGCAUAUCAAUAAGCGGAGGAAAAGAAACCAACAGGGAUUGCCUUAGUAACGGCGAGUGAAGCGGCAACAGCUCAAAUUUGAAAUCUGGCCUAUGGUCCGAGUUGUAAUUUGCAGAGGAUGCUUCGGGCGCGGUGCCUUCCAAGUCCCCUGGAACGGGGCGCCGGAGAGGGUGAGAGCCCCGUACGGUUGGCGGCCAAGCCUGUGUGAAGCUCCUUCGACGAGUCGAGUAGUUUGGGAAUGCUGCUCUAAGCGGGAGGUAGACCCCUUCUAAAGCUAAAUACCGGCCAGAGACCGAUAGCGCACAAGUAGAGUGAUCGAAAGAUGAAAAGCACUUUGAAAAGAGGGUUAAACAGCACGUGAAAUUGUUGAAAGGGAAGCGCUUGUGACCAGACGUGCGCCGGGGUGUUCAGCGGGCGUUCUCGCCCGUGCACUCGCCCCGGUGCAGGCCAGCGUCGGUUUGGGUGGGGGGAUAAAGGCGUCUGGAAUGUGGCUCCUCCGGGAGUGUUAUAGCCAGACGUGCCAUGCCUCCGCCUGGACCGAGGUACGCGUUCUGCAAGGACGCUGGCGUAAUGGUCUCCAGCGACCCGUCUUGAAACACGGACCAAGGAGUCGAGGUUUUGCGCGAGUGUUUGGGUGGAAAACCCGCACGCGUAAUGAAAGUGAACGUAGGUGAGAGCUUCGGCGCAUCACCGACCGAUCCUGAUGUUUUCGGAUGGAUUUGAGUAAGAGCGUAGGGCCUCGGACCCGAAAGAUGGUGAACUAUGCUUGGAUAGGGUGAAGCCAGAGGAAACUCUGGUGGAGGCUCGCAGCGGUUCUGACGUGCAAAUCGAUCGUCAAAUCUGAGCAUGGGGGCGAAAGACUAAUCGAACCAUCUAGUAGCUGGUUACCGCCGAAGUUUCCCUCAGGAUAGCAGUGUUGUUCUUCAGUUUUAUGAGGUAAAGCGAAUGAUUAGGGACUCGGGGGCGCUAUUUAGCCUUCAUCCAUUCUCAAACUUUAAAUAUGUAAGAAGCCCUUGUUGCUUAAUUGAACGUGGGCAUUCGAAUGUAUCAACACUAGUGGGCCAUUUUUGGUAAGCAGAACUGGCGAUGUGGGAUGAACCAUACGGGGGGUUAAGGUGCCAGAGUAGACGCUCAUCAGACACCACAAAAGGCGUUAGCACAUCUUGACAGCAGGACGGUGGCCAUGGAAGUCGGAAUCCGCUAAGGACUGUGUAACAACUCACCUGCCGAAUGUGCUAGCCCUGAAAAUGGAUGA